GAUGAACGCUGGCGGCGUGCUUAACACAUGCAAGUCGAACGGAAAGGCUCCUGCUUGCAGGGGUACUCGAGUGGCGAACGGGUGAGUAACACGUGGGUGAUCUGCCCUGCACUUCGGGAUAAGCCUAGGAAACUGGGUCUAAUACCGGAUAGGACGAUGUUUUGGAUGCCAUUGUGGAAAGAUUUUUCGGUGUGGGAUGAGCUCGCGGCCUAUCAGCUUGUUGGUGGGGGAAUGGCCUACCAAGGCGUCGACGGGUAGCCGGCCUGAGAGGGUGUACGGCCACAUUGGGACUGAGAUACGGCCCAGACUCCUACGGGAGGCAGCAGUGGGGAAUAUUGCACAAUGGGCGGAAGCCUGAUGCAGCGACGCCGCGUGGGGGAUGACGGCCUUCGGGUUGUAAACUCCUUUCGCUAGGGACGAAGCGCAAGUGACGGUACCUGGAGAAGAAGCACCGGCUAACUACGUG
RNAcentral lists this ribosomal RNA (466 nucleotides) under uncultured bacterium. RNAcentral describes it as "partial 16S ribosomal RNA". It matches the Rfam family "Bacterial small subunit ribosomal RNA", at positions 28 to 507 of the family's 1533-position model. The record is from RNAcentral.